GGCACUAUGGUUUAGCUGACUAAAGUGCCUGCAUUGUAAACAGGAGAUCCUAGGUUCAACUCCCAGUGGUGCCU
RNAcentral lists this transfer RNA (74 nucleotides) under Pelodiscus sinensis (Chinese soft-shelled turtle). It matches the Rfam family "tRNA". From Rfam's summary of the family: Transfer RNA (tRNA) molecules are approximately 80 nucleotides in length. The record is from Rfam by way of RNAcentral. Lineage: Eukaryota; Metazoa; Chordata; Testudines; Trionychidae.